AGCAGCCGCGGUAAUUCCAGCUCCAAUAGCGUAUAUUAAAGUUGUUGCAGUUAAAAAGCUCGUAGUUGAAUUUCGGGAUCAAUAUAUUGGUCAUGCUUAGGUAUGUACUGGUAUUAUUGAUUUCUCCCUUCUGAAGAACCAUAAUGUCAUUAAUUUGAUGUCAUGGGGAAUCAGGACUGUUACUUUGAAAAAAUUAGAGUGUUUAAAGCAGGCUUUCGCUUGAAUACAUUAGCAUGGAAUAAUGAAAUAGGACGUUUGAUUCUAUUUUGUUGGUUUCUAGGAUCGACGUAAUGAUUAAUAGGGAUAGUUGGGGGCAUUAGUAUUCAAUUGUCAGAGGUGAAAUUCUUGGAUUUAUUGAAGACUAACUACUGCGAAAGCAUUUGCCAAGGAUAUUUUCAUUAAUCAAGAACGAAAGUUAGGGGAUCGAAGACGAUCAGAUACCGUCGUAGUCUUAACCAUAAACUAUGCCGACUAGGGAUCGGAUGAUGUUAAUUUUUAAUGACUCUACG
RNAcentral lists this ribosomal RNA (509 nucleotides) under uncultured Glomus. RNAcentral's name for it is "SSU rRNA". It matches the Rfam family "Eukaryotic small subunit ribosomal RNA", at positions 569 to 1081 of the family's 1831-position model. Lineage: Eukaryota; Fungi; Glomeromycota; Glomeromycetes; Glomerales; Glomeraceae. The record is from RNAcentral.